CCUACGGGAGACAGCAGUGAGGAAUAUUGGUCAAUGGGCGCGAGCCUGAUGGAGCAACACCGCGUGAGUGAAGAAGGGUUUCGGCUCGUAAAGCUCUGUUGUUGGAGAAGAACGUGCGUGAGAGUAACUGUUCACGCAGUGACGGUAUCUAACCAGAAAGGCACGGCUAACUACGUGCCAGCAGCCGCGGUAAUACGUAGGUGGCAAGCGUUAUCCGGAUUUAUUGGGCGUAAAGCGAGCGCAGGCGGUCGCUUAGGUCUGAUGUGAAAGCCUUCGGCUUAACCGAAGAAGUGCAUCGGAAACCGGGCGACUUGAGUGCAGCAGAGGACAGUGGAACUCCAUGUGUAGCGGUGUAAUGCGUAGAUAUAUGGCAGAACACCAGUGGCGAAGGCGGCUGUCUGGUCUGCACCUGACGCUGAGGCUCGACAGCGUGGGUAGCGAACAGGAUUAGAUACCCCGGUAGUC
This 465-nucleotide ribosomal RNA is filed under the name uncultured bacterium. RNAcentral's name for it is "partial 16S ribosomal RNA". It matches the Rfam family "Bacterial small subunit ribosomal RNA", at positions 338 to 795 of the family's 1533-position model. The record is from RNAcentral.